AUGGAAGUGAUGAUCCUUUCCCCAGAUGAUCGACUAUGAUUAUACUGCGCUAUUUCUUUUUCUCUUCGGAGAAUCCAAGCCAAGAGUCUGAUCCAU
Small nucleolar RNA from Magnolia sinica, 96 nucleotides. RefSeq annotates it as small nucleolar RNA Z103. The transcript has a single exon. The record is from RefSeq and is a predicted model, not a curated record. NCBI's taxonomy places the organism in Eukaryota, Viridiplantae, Streptophyta, Magnoliopsida, Magnoliales, Magnoliaceae.